GAUGAACGCUGGCGGCGUGCCUAAUACAUGCAAGUCGAGCGAACGGACGAGACGCUUGCUUUUCUGAUUUUAGCGGCGGACGGGUGAGUAACACGUGGAUAACCUACCUCUAAGACUGGUAUAACUUCGCGAAACCGCAGCUCAUACCGGAUAAUAUUUUGAACCGCAUGGUUCAAAAGUGAAAUACGGUCUUGCUGUCACUUAUAGAUGACUCCGCGCUGCAUUAUUUAGUUGGUAAGGUAACUGCUUACCAAGGCAACGAAGCAUAGCCGACCUGAGCGGGUGAUCGGCCACACGGGAACUGAGACACGGCCCAGACUCCUACGGGAGGCAGCAGUAGGGAAUCUUCCGCAAUGGGCGAAAGCCUGACGGAGCAACGCCGCGUGAGUGAUGAAGGUCUUCGGAUCGUAAAACGCUGUUAUUAGGGAAGAACAUAUGUGUAAGUAACUGUGCACAUCUUGACGGUACCUAAUCAGAAAGCCACGGCUAACUACGUG
This 497-nucleotide ribosomal RNA is filed under the name uncultured bacterium. RNAcentral describes it as "partial 16S ribosomal RNA". It matches the Rfam family "Bacterial small subunit ribosomal RNA", at positions 28 to 507 of the family's 1533-position model. The record is from RNAcentral.